GCGCCGGUGGUGUAAAGGCGUAGAGCAUUCCCGCCCGGUCAGAGGGAGGUGCGGGUUCGAGUCCUGCCUGGCGCU
Molecule: non-coding RNA, 75 nt
Organism: Heligmosomoides polygyrus
Lineage: Eukaryota; Metazoa; Nematoda; Chromadorea; Rhabditida; Heligmosomidae
Source: Rfam